Molecule: long non-coding RNA, 43285 nt
Filed under: Pelobates cultripes (western spadefoot toad)
Lineage: Eukaryota; Metazoa; Chordata; Amphibia; Anura; Pelobatidae
Rfam family: mir-135 microRNA precursor family (bases 25187-25272)
Source: RNAcentral
UUAUCUUCCUCACUUGUGUAUGUGGGUUUUCCUCAGUGAGGGAUUCCAGUGCUGUGACAUCCUGUUUGGAAUCUGCAGAGAGCAUCAAGGUAGAAUCACUUAAUAUAUGUUUUCUGUAGGAUGUAUGUGUGUGAUUGUGUGUGUAUAAAACCAAUGGAAUUGUGCAUUUCUCUCCAUCCCAGUAAGAAAACAGGGCUAAGUGCAUGUGCAGGUUUAAGGACAUAUGUGUAAAACCUUUGUGUAGGUAUUUUAGGGGAAGCCUGUAUAUUCUAUUUGGAGAAUAUGUAUGUUUUGUUUAUUUAUGUGUACAUUUAGUUCACUUUAUUUAGGUAGGCAUGUGAAUGGGUCUAGGAGUGUAUGCCUCUGUGUGAAUAAGUCUUUGUGGGAGAGUCUGCUUUUGCUGAGCUGUGUAAAUAUAAUUCUUAAUAGAAGCACUGUAGAAAAUAUACAUGUAUGUAUAUUUAUGAGAAGCUACAAAGUGUAUUUUGUACAAGCGUUUACAGUUGUUUUGGUAUGAAGAAUUGUAUGUUUGUACACAGAAUGUAUGUAUAUACAGAAUAGUGUAGGUCUUUGUACGUUUGUUUUCUUAGUUGCAGCGUAGUGGUUUGUGUUUGAAUAUGUUUUGUUGUGUACACCUAGGGGGAAUGUGUUUUUGUAUAAUUUAUUUUAAAAAAUACCAGUUUAAAAAGUGUGCAUGUUACAUAGUAUCUAUCUAUCUAUCUAUCUAUCUAUCUAUCUAUCUAUCUAUCUAUCUGUCUGUCUGUCUGUCUGUCUAUCUUUGUACAUUAAUAUACAAGCAGACAUGUAGUGUGCACUAGUAUAGCAGUAAUAGUGACUAUACAUGUAAAUACAUGUAGACGUAAUGACUAGAAUCCCAUAUACUUUAAGUAGAUUUUUGCUUACUCAUAUACUGCCUGCACAUAUUCAUUGGACUAAAUAUAAAUCUUGCAUUCAUAUGUAAUGAUUUAGUCAUAAAAUAUUUUGAAUUGAUUUUCACCACUUGGUAAUUUACCACAAAUAAUUUGAAACUUUCAUUAUAAAACUACACCUGCAUAUGUGUGUAUGUAGUAUGUGUACUUAAAUUGUCUGUAUAAAUAAGUGCACUUAUAUUUAUUCAUACUCAUAUGUUUGUUUAAACUGAUUACUCCUCGGUUUGUUUUUGUGUAUUGCUGUACAGUCAUAAACUCACUAUCAAGUCACUAAUUCUAGACAUCCUCAGAAGUGCCUUUGUACCCUAGCAACAUGGCUACAAGGUGUACAGGUGUAAAACUCCUGAUUGGUUGUAACCCUAUUAUACCUGUUUUAUUUGGUUGUGUCCCCCAGGACUGUACAAACACAAGAUUAUUUUUGACUAUUAAUGCCCCCUUUCAAAUAACACCUGGCACAAUCAUUUUCCAAGAUGAUUUGACAUGUUUUGCGCUUUUAACCUAUUCACAGGUGAUAGCAGGGACGUUUAUGACUGUUGUGGAAAUGGUUAAGUGGAAUUUUGUUUUUUAUGUAUUGUGUGAUGCUUUUGGCCCCCACCUUAUCAUGCCUGUCCUUCACAGCCCCUCCUUAUAAACCAGGAGGGAAUCUCUCUGUGUGUGGAAGAGCGUCCCUAGGAUCAGGCAGAGGAGAGCACAACAUAAUCUGCAGCCAGCAAGAGAGGGACAAAGAGAGAGAGAGAGAGAGAAAGGGGGGCAGAGGCAGUACUGGGUCAGUCAUUGUGAAAACACAACACGGUAAGUAUUGUUUCCUUCAACCCUUCAGAUAUUGAGAGUAAAGAGGAGUAAGAGGUGGAGAGCAGAGGCAGGAUGAUCUACAAAUGCUAUAGAUAAGAAAAAAAGAGAUAAAUACAGAGACUAAUCACUGAAUUCCAGGGUGCUCCAGCAAGGAAAGGAUUAAUGCCUCUUAGAGUGAAAUGCGCAGACCAAACAGAAAAGAAAAGGGGGCACAGAGGGUAAGGGGAAUUUAGUACGGGACACAGGACAUGGAGUGUGAUAUGAAGACGGAGAAGGUGUGUUGAUGCCGGAAGGAAUAAGAAAGAAUUUAAGGUCAUUUCUUUACAUAAUUAACGCACAGAACAGUUUAAUGAAGAAUCCAAAAAAAGCUGGGGGAUUUUGUUUCACCUUAUUUAUUGGCCUUUUCCUGCCCCCAUCAAAAAAACAGUUGUAUAUAAGCUCAUGUAAAUAUGUGAUUAUGCAGCAAUUUGUAGCAAGAAUAGUUGAAGAAAAUGUAAACAAUUCAGCCCUGAUUGAUUGUAUUGCUGAUUAAUACCUAAAAAUAUAUAUAUAAUCACCUACAUUUUAUGUUAACCCCGUAAUGUCUAGGAGUACCUCCAUGUCUUAAUUCUAGCACCUGAAACAAAAAAGCUGUAAUAUGGCUCAAGAUUUGUCAAGUGUUGCGGAAAGGUCAAUGCGUUUCUGGUCAGAGGGAAACAAAGGGGUACACAAAAGGGAGAAAGUUCUUCCAAAAUGAAUGCACAAGUUUAUUUCUAAGUGGACUUGCUUUUUGAUGUACCUUGAGUGUGCCCCUAUAUAUAUAGGAGCUCCCUUGGAGCCAUGUCUAGUUGGUAUGUGUACAAACAAGUGAACAAAUCAUUUAUACACAGUCAGUCCUAGAAGAAAUAACAGCGAAUUAAACAGCUGAAAGAGAAAAUGCAUUCAAUCAGAUGGUAGGAUGUGGUUGUAGGAUAGAUGCCAAAGAAUAGAGGGCUGUGAACUCUGGGAUUUCUGCACAGCCCAGUGAAAGUUAGCUACGAAUGGUACUGUUUAUUUUAAAUAUAUUGUUCACUAUUGCUACAUUUUUUCAAUGAUAUUUACAUCAUAUGUGAGGUUGCAAGGCAUAACCUGACAUAGAAUGUGAAUUAUUUGCUUUCCCAUGAUUACUUGUGUGCAGUGAAUGGAAGGAAUUAUUGAAAAAUGCCUGGCGUACAAGGGCUUAUGGGAAGAUUUCAGCUGCUGUAUGCAGCAGCGCUGUAGAGGUUAGUGUGUUUUUUGUUUUGCUCAUCUACAUACCUCACCCCAGUAAAUGCCUCAGAAACAUUUUAUUGGGGUGAGCAAAAUUGAACUGUCAGCAGCUUCAGUGUAUCACAUUGCUCUUUAAAGGGGCUGUCUAAGAAACAUCAUCAUUACAACAUGAUGUAGUGGUUAUGGUGCUUGUAGGCUGUGGUUGCAACCCACCCCCUUCUGCAGUUCCUGGGUAAAAUUGUUUUCUAAUACUUUAACCAAAACAAUAGGCCCCUGAAGCAUGACAAAUGAUGGGUUCAGUCUAUCAAUGCCAUGCAAAUAUGGACACAAUUGGUAUUGCUAACGUGAAGUGGAACUUCUGCAUUAGAAAUAUGUGUGCUGGGGGUCAAGCUGAGGUUUCCUUGGGGACCCACAGUUUUGGUCAAACGUAUUGAAAAUGGUUUACGUAGACAUUGAGUACAUGGCUAUAAUAGGAUGAAUGCAGUCUUUAGGUGUGUUUAUUUUUUUUUUUUUUAACAAGUAUCAGCAUAAAAACUGUGAUUUCCAUCUGGCAAUUAAUUAACACUAAUACAUUAAUUUGGAUAGCGCUAUGCAUAUAUAUCUAGUAAGGCUUCAAGUAAAUGUGACCUUUAAAAUCAGCCGAUAAAGGUAAAACAUGUGCCUGUCAUGUGGAAAUAUUUCUCUCAUUGAAGUGUGCACUGGACCAAAAUAGGCUGAAAACCAGUAGUAUAGAGACAUCUUGUCACUUUAUUUUUGCUCUCUUUUAAAAGUGUAUUAAUAUUAGUUUAUGUGGCAGAUAGACAGAUGGCCUGUGAUAUGUGUCAGUGGAUUUACUAAGUACCUCAAGUGCUAGCCUUUCCUCAAUAAAUACACACAAGAUUCACAUUCGCCCUAUUCAGUCAGGUGGUUUCACAGAGAUUGGAGCAGUGUGAUAUUAUGCCAUGCAUGCGCACUAGCCUUCCACUAUACACUGAUGAUUUCAACUAAAGAAGCUGAGUGGAAGGAUGGAAUCAGCACGGUGAGGGUUAAUAGGUAAGUCAAUCUUACCUUCAUAACCUCAUAGACAUUGAGGAAGGUCCAAAAUAGGUAGUUUAACCUCCUGAGACCCAGCCAAUUAACUUCUGUCCACUGUACUAGACAUUUCGUUCACAUGCAUCUCUUUUUAUUCUUUUGAGCUACUCUAUCAAGCCCUGCUGUAUUGUAAAGAGGACACCCUGAGCUUUCCAGUGAUAUGUCAUGUUAUAGGCUGGAAUGCUGGGAACUUCCUCUUCCUUUUCAUAUAAAAUGGCUGGCAUAUUGGAAGACAAUAUUUUCCUCAGUUCCCAGGAGGUUAUCUAUAGCCCUGCAAACAUGUUUGUAUUUCAAACACUAUAGUGCUCCUUUAGAGUAUGCUUAAAUCUUCCAAUUUUUAAAUCACAAUGCUUUCAAGUAUUCUUUUACAACAAUGUCUGCCAAUUAAAAAAAACAAAAAACCUUUUAUGAAUCAUUUAACCUUGUGUAUCUAGGUCAUGUGAUCCUGAAAGUUCUAUUUCAUAUUUAUCUGUUUCUAUAAAUAUUUCCCGUUAGAACUGGAAAAUAAAUAUACAAGUUAACUUUUGUAAAAAAUCUAGCAUUUGGGAUGAUUUCAUUUUAAGUUGAAUGUAGACAUUUAGAGGCGAGGUAUCCAUUAAUUGUGACUUAUGUACUUGAAACAUAUGUGUUGUGACCAAUAAAUACUUGUCAUAGUUGGGUUUACACCUGUUACUUCCUGUUUGUGAAGUAUACAUUUGCACAUUGCACUAUACUAGAUUAGGUUUCAUAAACAUUGGAGGAUAUUUACAAAGUGUUAUGAAAAGAGUUGGUAAUAGUCUUAAUGACACAUGAUUGAAUUAUUCAAUCAUGGGUGCCCUAUCCUUAAGGAUCAUUUCCUUGCUGGUUAUUGGGAAACCCCGGUUAUCAUUCAAUGCAUGGAGGUCCCCUGUGUCACAAUAAGUUAGCGCUGCACACAUCCCUUUAAAUCACUGUGUUUUGCCACGGUCCCAUUGGCAUCAUAAUUUUUUUUUUCCUUGAAUAGUUUUUAUUUCCAUUUUGACAUAAGAACAAACUUCUUUUGAUACAUUUGACAUUGUUACGUUGCUAUACAUCAUUACCUAUUGGCAUCAUUAUUGAUAUCACUUGUAAUACCUUCCGAUAGAGAAAGACCAGCAGGGACUGAGAAGCUCCCUGCAAGUUUACUGCAGCGUGAUCACAGACUGCAGAGGGUGAUCAAUGAAGGGCAAUGUAUGCUGCCCAGUGCUGAUCUCUAAUCUCUUGGAUUUAGAAACAAAGAGGGAAACAAUCCCUCUCAUGCUGAAAGUGCACAGUGCUGAGGGGUCUCUGAGUGCACUGUACUGUAAGUGAAUCCCUCUGUUGCCAUCAGUGAAAGGGAUUCCCUUUGCUGACAUAAGGAGUGGGAAUCUAUCUAAUACACUACUAGGAUUAUAAAAAUUUAAAUAAAAAUUAUAGGUCGCGCCACAAAAACAAGUAAAAACAAGUAAAAUGAUAUGAUAAAACCAAUAUUAAUUAAUAAAAAAUAAGGUAUGUCGCACCACAAUAAAACUGUAGGGUAAUUUAAAAUACAGUAAUGUACUUACAUAUAUUAAAAUAAAGUAAAAAAUACAAUAGUCCUGAUAUCAAAUGGGCAGAUAGAAAGCUAGGUAGACUUACAGGAGAUUUGAUUUGAUGUGUAGAUCUUGAAGUGGUCAGGUUCUCUUGGUUCAGGUUAAAAUAUGUGAAUAUAAAAGAACGAUUCCAAUAGUGCAGACGGUAACUGAAAAUAAAGCGGAAAGGGAAAAAAAACUUCACAGCAGGGUGGUAUUUUCACUCACCUAUGAGAGAGCUAGAACUAGCUCAGGUAUAACUGGCAUUCAGUGGCGUCGAUCCCCUACUGGUAGGAUAUGGGAGUUGAUAAGCGGAGGAGGUCCUCGGUAUGGAGAGAAAAUAAAACCAAAUAGUGCUCACUGUAUAUAUUAUAAGGCAGGUUGGUAUAGAAACAUAAAGUACUCACAUUUAAGUAUUUAAAUACUCCAAAUAUUCUGUACUCUGCCCUUGGGUUUUUACGCCAAAGAUGCAUUAUGUUGCACUUAUCCACAUUAAAUGUCAGUUGCCACAGCUCUGACCAUUUCCUCAUUUACCUAAAUCAUUUGCCAUUUGGCUUAUCAUCAACAUCAACCCUGUUGCAAAUUUUUGUAUCAUCAGUAAAAAGACAUAUUUUACCAGCAAGACCUUCUGCAAUAUCACUAUAUCACAAUGUCUGCUGCUUUUGAAACCGUUGAACAUGCUCUCCUUCUUCAAACUCUUCAAUCAUUUGAUCUCUGUGGCUCUGUCCUCUUGUGGUUUUCCUCUUAUUUCUCCCAACGCUCAUUCAGUGUCUCCUUUUCUAAUGAUACCUCCUCCCCUCGUCCUGUCUCAGUUGGAGUCCCCGAAGGCUCUGUCCUUGGUCCCCUUCUAUUAUCUCUUUAUACUAUAUUUGCCUCUCUUGGCAAACUUAUUGACUCUUUUGGAUUUCACUACCACCUGUAUGCUGAUGACACCCAGAUAUAUCUCCCCUCCCCGGACCUCUCUCCUGCAGCCCUGCAACGUGUCACUGCUUGCCUUUUUUCCAUCUCUGACUGGAUGUCCUCCCGCUUUCUGAAACCCAAUCUCUCUAAAACUGAACUCAUUGUCUUUCCUCCUCCUAAUAGUGAUCCUCCUCUUUCGCUCUCCCUUCAAGUUAGUGAUAUUCACAUAAGUCCAUCCUUACAAGUCUUGGCGUCAUACUUGAUUCUGGCCUCACCUUUGAUCCUCACAUCAAGUAUGUUGCCAAAUCCUGUAGAUUCCAUCUUAAAAAAAUAGCCUGCAUCCGCCCCUUUCUUACACAAGAUGCUACCAAGGAGCUUGUCUAUGCUCUAGUAAUUUCCCACAUGGAUUAUUGUAACCCUUUCCUGAUUGGUCUUCCCAAAAGCCACACUACACCGCUACAGUCCGUAAUCAAUGCUGCCACCAGACUGAUUUUCCUCUCUAGUCAGUUCUCUCACACCUCACCCCUCUGCCAGUCCUUACAUUGGCUUCCUGUAUCCUUUAGGAGUCAAUUCAAGGUACUAAUUCACACCUAUAAAGCCCCUUUUAUAUCUCCUCACAUCCCUUCUCGGUCUCUCCGCUCUGCCCCUGACCUUCUCCUUAGUUUGGCAUGAUCUCCCUGAAGUAGACCCAUGUUAUCAUGACAGAUGAACGUUUUUAGGAUAUCAAGCCCCAUGUACCUUUGAUUAAUCCAAUUUCAAGAUCAAGACAUAUUUCAGGAGCUCACAGUCUUGAGUCCGCAGUUGCCUAUUUUACUCUUCCUUUCUCCUUUGCUGGGCCUUCCCUUUUGGGUAUGUCAUGGGAAAAAGCCUAUUUGAAAAUGUGUUAAUACUUUUAUAUCAUGAAAUGUCUGCAUUUAUGUUAAAAAACCAUCAAUAAAAUAAGUGACAACUCAUCACUUGUAUUCUGUUAUCAGGUUUUUAAAGGAACAACCCAACCAGCAGUGCACCACUACAAUGUUAUUUCAAAGUUACUUUUUUUAGGGUUACAUGACCAGAUGAUUAAUAAAACUCCCAGAUAUGCUUCAGCUGUCCUGAGAAAAUCACCAUGUUAUUUCUUUGUAAGAAAGUGAGGAUGUAGGCCCGAAUUUGAUUGAAUGGAUGCUAUUGUUAACAUUCAAAUUAUUCAGCUUCAUUCUGUAUUCUACUUUCUGCUUGAGAGGGUGUAUAAAGAAGUGUAAAUAUGUUUUUACAGUGUAAGUAUGCAAAAUAAAUCUUAAGAAGAAAAAAGUCACAAAAAUUUUAAUAAUUUGAAAUAAAAAAAUGUUUGGGGUAAUUGCAAUAUCAUUUUUAAACCAUGCAAAUUGAGCUGAGUACUUACAUUUUCAUUAAUCAUAUCAUUAGGUUUUGAAUUUCUGUUUUACUUGUUUCCAAAAUGGCUUCUUAACAUUAACAUGAUCUGCAGGUGACACCAAAGCGUUAUUGUAUAGGAGGAGUCUUCAAGUCCAGGUCAGUAUGUAAUAAGAAGAGAGAACAAGGGGAAAAUAUAGUGUACUAUGUUGAUUACCUGCACUCAUUUAUCUCUUCUCUCUCUCCUACUACCAAAUGAUCCCAUCGUUGUCCCCAUCAAUACAAAACCCACUCACACCUCCUGUCAUUGUCUCUCCUCCUGCUUCUCUCCUGAUGUCUCUUCCAACCCAGGGCCCUUCACCUCCUCUGCUCACAUUAAGCCAACCAGAAACGACAUGAAUCUCAUCCUGGUACCCUGUCAUUUCUCCUCAUCUACCAAUGUUCAGUGUGCACUGUGGUACGCCCGCUCUGUCUGCAGCAGACUGAAAUCUACAGUUGUACACAAGUACUUCGUUUUAAAAUCUCUCACCCUACUAGCACUCACUGAGACCUGGCUGUUCCCCCCUGACAGCACUACUCCUGCUUCUAUAUGCUUGGUGGGCUACGACUUUCCCACACUCUCAGACUCAACAACCGUAAACAAGGUGGAGUAGGCAUCCUUCUCUCCCGCCAAUGUAUCUUUUCAACCAAUCUUCCCUGUCCCUGCCUUAUCUAUUCUUCAUUUGAAAUUCACAGUGUCUGUCUAUUUAAAUCCACUACAAAAAUUGGCAUCAUUUAAAAACCCCUGGUCAUCCUAGGCUAUUCACUCAAAACGUUCUUCCUGGUACACCACUUUCUCUCCUCUAGCACUUCUUCCCUAAUACUUGGGGACUUUAAUAUCCCAAUCAACAACCCUAAUUGCUCCGAAGCCUCUCAACUGGUCUCUGUAACCUCCUCCAUUGAUCUCAGGCAAUUCUAUAACUCAGCAACUCAUACAGUGGGAAACACUCUUGAUCUUAUCUUCACCAAUCUCUGUAACACCUCUAAUAUCUCCAUUGCUCCAUUUCCUCUAUCUAAACCACCAUAUGCUUACCUUUGACAUCGACAUACCCCAUGCACAACUUAUACCACCCUCGAUACAUCAGCCUCACCAAAACCUCCACUGUCUUGACCUACAGUGAUUUUCCACCAACAUCCAAACUCUCCUUUUACCAGUUCCAAGCCUCACCUGCCCUAGCUCUGCAUCCUCCCUCAACAACUUCACACUCUCUACUCAACUAGAUAUCAUGGACACUCCUACAUUUAAACGUUGCAAGCUACCCCGAUUACAACCUUGGUAUACCAUGCUGACCCGAUAUAUCCCUGUUGCUUCUCUUCCUCCUAGUAACUUGAUCACUAUGAAAUUUGCAACUAACAUCUCUAAUCUCUCCCGUUCCCCUACCAAUACUUCACCCAACCCUAUUCCCUCUGCUGUUCUAUGAGCACUUGCACCCACUAGCAACCUACUUUUAUACCCUGCCAUUACCUUUUGUGUACUUCUACUCUACUCCUUCUAAAAUGUAAGUUGUCGAGCAGCGCCUUCAAGCCCCUCUGUUCCUGUGCAUCCAAAUCGAAGCAGGUCAUGGUAAAAUUAAUUAUUGUGUCGCUUGCAUACCCAAGCAUCAGUCGAGACAUGACAAAGGGUACAACUGGAAUGCUUUUUUAUUAUUGCAGAUGGCCCACUUUUAUACAUAGACCCCCAGUAGGGGGUCUCCAGCAAAAGUAUAGGAAAACAUGCCCAGGCGUCUCUGUGUCUGCGAGAUAAUUGAGUGUACUUUGCUUAAACUAAUUACCUCCCAAGUACAAAAUAUCAAACAUAAAAUACCCCAAAACAUACAUAAUAUUUAUAGGGACCUCCACAAGUUCUAUAUCCCUGGAUAGCCUGGAUCUGAGCACCAAAAGCUUCCAAAUAGCGCUCAGAUCGCCACCGGAGUAACAUUAUGACUGACUGCACACAUGGCUUCUGCCCAAAAUAGUUUCAUAAGAAAAGUGGUAGCGGUCGGUCACUUUCAGAAGUCCCAAAAUGAACAAAACUGAACGGUUCUCCUGGCUCAUAGGUAGGGAUUGUUCGUCUAGUUCGUGCGGUACUUCUUGCGUUCACCGAAUAGUGCUCUCCUGGCUUGUCGGGAAUAGAAGCAGGUGUUGGUACAAAGUUACCGUUGUUUCGCGGGUUAGAGUGUUGGACUUAGAGUUCCAGACCCUCAACGACCAAGUAUUGCUGCCUGCUUUCGGGCCGCCCUGGGAGAGCACUUAAUUUAAUGGUUACUGUGAAGUUAAUUGAGCCAGGGGUGGUCGGUGUUCGGUAGAUCAGGGAAAAAAACUGGGGCAAGGGAAAUUACAGGGUUUGUCACAGAUAAAUACUUACCAUCUUGGUCUAAAAGGAGAUAAUCCAGAGGUAUGUAAAAAAAACAGAAAGUAAAACUAAUAUAGUGUAGCAUGUCAUAUAUGCUGGGUGGAGUGAAUAUUAAACAUGUGCGAUUCCGAAUGUCUGAAUUUCGGAAGUGCCGAACCGAACCAAAUUGUAGAACUGCCGAAUUGCUGAAGUCCUGAAUUGCCGAAGAGCUGAAUUUCGGAAGUGCCCAACCAAAUUUCCAAAGCGCCGAAUUUCGGAAGUGCUGAAGUGCUUCGGAUUUCUGAAAAGUGGCAAAACAGGAGAGGAAGGGAAAAUGAAGGGAAUGAUGACAGGAAUCUAACCCUACCCCUAAGGCUACUCCUAACCCUAGCCCUAAACCCACCGUUAACUCUACUAGGGGUAGGGUUAGGUUUAGGGGUAGAGGAAGGUUGGGGUUAGGAGUAGGGUUAUGGGGUUGGGUUUGGGGUAGGGGUGGAGUUGGGGUAGGGUUAGGGUGGGGUUAGGUUUAGGGCUAGGGUUAGGGGUGGGCUUAGGGUUAGAGGUGUGGGUAGGGCUGGGGUGGGGUUAGGGUAGGGGUGGGGUUAUGGGUAGGGUAGGGUUGAAGUAGGGGUAGGGUUGGGGUAGGGUUAGGAGUGGGGUAAGGGAAGGGUUAGGAGUAGGGUUAGGAAACUGACGAAUUCUCAAAUUGCCAAAGUCCCAAAUUUCGGAAGUCUGAACUGAAACAAAUGUUUUGCCCAUGCACAUCCCUAGUGAAUAUGUAUUGCACACUCACAUUUAUUGGAGCCUACUGAUGGUUCCCAGUGGAUAGCAUGAAAUAAAGUAAUCUCCACUCUUGGAUAUAUACAGCUUCCCACUCAUGAAUGUGUGUGGCAGAAAUGCUCAUGGUGAUAACUAUAGAUAAAACAGAAAUAACACAAUGCUACUGCUCAUUGUAUGGUAAAAAUCUAGAAAAGUAAGAAGAAAUAUACUCACUGACAUAGAGCAAAAAUGGUUUCGCCCAAUCCAUAAGGUGUAAAUUUUAUAUUCCCGACCAAGGAAACUGAUUACCAACCAUCCAGAUAAAGGUAGGAAGGUCCAAAGGUAAUAAAAAUCAAUAUUUUAUUGAAAAUAGUAUAUAAAAACAAGUGAUAAAGAGUAACACACUAAUGUGUUUCACCUAUCUUACAGGCUUUCUCAAAGUGUUCAGCGUUUAAGAUUAUAUAUACAUACGAUACAGAUGAUAUUCUUACUAUAUGAAUCUAUAAGUACAAAGCAAGAAACAGAUUAUGGUGCAGUACAGUAGAUGUUUGUGAAGGGAGUACAUAUGGGCAAAAGUGAACAUUCACACUUUUUAGAGCUGUCGAAGCUCUAUUAUGAAGGCCUGUACAGAAUAAUCCCAGUCUAUAGAUAUAAGUGUUUAAAGGAUGGAGUAGGUAUAUGUAAAAAAAGACAAAAUAGGAAAUCCAAUGGUAUAGUAUAUACAAACAAUUGGUAUUGAUGGAGAAAAAUAUCCUACUUACGUCACCCAGAGCAAUGUCCUGCUGUGGUAUGAAGAACUUGAGGUGGAUCCCCACCUAGGGAUAUAUGCUGGAACCGGAAGGAUGAUGAGGGCUGUAUGAAGGAUGUAUUCCACAGGUGAUGGUUUAUAAAAGAGUAGAUUUAUUAAAUAAAAAACUGGAAACAGCAGCUAUAUAAGUAAAAAAAAAUAAACAACCACACUUAACGCGUUUCACCAAAGGCUUUCUCAAAAGACUUUUGAGAAAGCCUUUGGCGAAACGCGUUAAGAGAUGUGUAAAACCUUAAAUUUUUUUUAAAAGGAGGUCUUCUAUUAAAAUGGAAUUGUACUGAUCUAGAAACUUUUUUGGAACAAGCCUACUCGCUAAAAGACAAUCUUAAGGAGAAUAAAUAUCCUGUCGGAAAGAUUCGUACCCUGAUAAAAGACAUUGGACACCUGUAUGAAGAGAGAUUAAUCCAAUAUCAAAAUCCAGAAAAAAAGAAACAUCAUAAUUCCCAUCAUUCUAGAUUUUAAUAGCAAGUAUAUCAGAAUGAAAUUAAUUAUUAUGAAAUUUUGGGGGAUCCCAAAAGAAGAUAAUAGAUUUAACAAAUAUCCUUUCUGACAAACCCAAUAUUAUUUUUAGGGGUGUUCCUUACCUUAAAAAGUGUUUAACUAGAAAUUACACAAAAAAACAACAACCACUAACAACUAAAAAAAAGUUUUUAUAAAUGUAAAUACUGCAUAGCAUUCAAAAGCACUAACAGGAAUAAUACAAAAAGAUUUUAUUUUAAAUCUAACCAUUCCCCCCAAAAAGUAUAACAUAAAAACCCUAAUCACAUGUAAUUAAAAUAAAUUAGUAUACCUAUUGGAAUGCCCAUGGGGCCUGCAAUUUGUUGACAUAACAACUAAAAUUGUGAUAAUUCAAAUUACAGAGAAUUGCAGGAACAUUUCCAAAGACUUAACAAACCAUUCCAUAGCUAAACAUUUUUUAAUACACAAUAAAGACCCCAAGCACCUACAAUUCUGUGCCUUAGAAAAAAUUACCUUUCCCACAGUGUGGUAACAAUCUCUCCAAAAUUAUAGGCAAAAGAUAAUUUUAAUCGGUCUUUUUCAGUGGCGUAUACACAAUCCAUGGGGUCCCGGUCCGAAACUGAUCCACAACCCCCCCUUCCUCCCCCGACAGAAACACACACAGGCACAUACAAACAGACACACAUACAUACAUACAUACAUACAUACAGACAGACACACACAGGCACAUACAAACUGACAGGCACACAUACAGACAGACACAUACAUAAGACACAUACAUAAAUACACACACACACAUACAUAAACACAGACACACACAUACACAAACACACAGACACAUACAUACAAACAAAAACACACAUAUACAAAAUGUUUAGUUCACCCUCCUGUUUCCUACCUUUUAGGUGCAGGAGGGUGGCUUUCCCUGGGGUCCAGUGGUGGCUCAGGCUGGUGGGAGUCAAAGUUCCCACUUUGACUCCCUCUCCUUUCUCUCGCGCGGGCUCUCUGAUAGGUGGGAGGAGUGACCGGGGAAGUCACUUCCUCCCAGCGUCUGAUGUCAUCUCAGGAGUCAUGAGCUUCCUGAGCCACUUCACUCCCUUCAUUCUACCCUAGCUCUCAUUUUUUUUUUUAAACUAUUGAUGAAGGAAGCCCAUUAUUUUGCAUAAUUUACCUUUAAUUUUGCAUUUGGUUUUAAUGUUUUUACUUGAUUGUCACAUGAUUAUGAUGUCAUGUUACCAUUAUUUUUCAACUUGUACUGAGCUAGAUAUACACAGUGAAGGUCUUUUUGCCUGUAUCACUUUGAGAAAACCUGCAAGAUUGGUGAAAUGUGUUAGUGUGUUUUCACUUUUGUUUUUAUAUACUAUUUUAAAUAAAACUAUUGAUUUUUCUUACCCUUAAACCUUCAUGCUUUUAUCCUGAUGUUUGGUCAUCAGUUUCUUUGGUAGGGAAUCUACCACUUAUGCCUCGUGGAUUGAGAAAAAGCACUUUUUGCUCUACAUCAGUGUGUAUAUUUACUUCUACUCUGUUUUAUCUAUGCAUACCAUGGUAAGGAUUUCUGCCACACAUAUCCACUGGGAGUCAUCAGUAGUCUCAUAGAAAUGUGAGUGUGCACUUAUACAAAUUCACUACACACAGCAUAUCUGACAUACUACACUAUACUGGUGUCACGUUCUGUUUUCUUUUCAUACCUCUGGAUUACACCUUAUUGGACCAAGAUAUCAAGUAUAUAUUCACAGGCGGGGAUUAUACCACCCAGGUGGAGCAAAUUGGAGCUAAUUAUCAGCUCCAUACAUUGUAAAUCCAAUUCCUUUUGUCUUCUUUAACCAAGUAAUCAACAUACUACACUAUAUAUUGCCUCUUAUCUUCUUGUCUCAUUAAAUACUGAUCUAUACUGACCUUAACAUGAGGGCAUUUCCAAAGCGCUGCUUCGCUACUCAUAGGCAAUAACCAUUUACAACAAGCAACAUGAGACUCUGGUUUGGUUUGUUCAAGCUGCCUAUUGGACCACAUAACAAGCGCUAAAAACUUACUAUCUUGUGUUAUUAUCUCAACACCAAAGCAUUGACUUGUAGCACAGUGAAAGUUAUAAAACCUCAUUUGCUUUCUCUGACAUUUCUUGCCUGGCUACAGAUUGAAAUGUCUUUCACCUUUGCCCACAAUCUCAGCAUUCAUCUGCAGAGAUUGUGAUUGACAUUACUUACCCCUCAUCUCUACAAGGCAAUAUAGUUUGCAGCUUCUUUUAGGUUGCCAAUAUAGCAACAUUCAUGAAAAAAAUGAAGGAAUUUGAGAAGCCACUAAGUGGUUUUAUGUUUUUUCAGUAUAUACCCAGCACACCUCAUGGACAGAAUUUUAUGGGAUAUACACUGCGCACUCCAUGUAAACAAUAGGAAGGCAUAGCUUGGUUGAAAAAGUGAGUUAUUUUUUCAUUUUUCAUUUACAUUUUUACUAAGUUUUUCGUCUUCAUAAUGCAUUAAAACAUGAUAAAUUCAAACUAGGUAUAUCAUUUAAAGGAACACUCCAAUGCCCCCAUUAUAUUGAUAUUCACUGUAUAGUUUAUAUACCCCAAAUUAAACCAUGCAUGUAUUUAAUUGUGCCUUUUUUUCAUUGAGGGUGUAUCUAAAAACAGUUUUAAAAAAACUGCAGGUCUCUUGUCUAAACCCUUUGUAAGCCCUACCCUUCUAACUCAGCCCAGACUUUCUGUGGCUAUCCAAUCACAGACUUCCCAAUACAACUCUAUGAGAAGUCUUUGUAAGGCAGGCAGGUUCACUGAGGACCUGUUGUCUGCUUGAAAGCCAAGGGGGUGUUACAAGACUAAUUUAUAAAAGUGCCAAUUUCUGUUAAAAUAUACACUUUUUCUAAAGUGAAAAAAGGGCACUCCACACAUAACCCUUUUUAGCAAGCUGGAGUGCUUUAGGGGACCGUUGUUUUCUUUUUAACAUUUUUUGUAAGCCCUGAAUCUAUUUUAUACUUAUGUGCAGUUGUUAGAUACAGUUUGGGUAUGUAAGAUGAUUAAAUGCUCCUUAACAGUUGUAAAAAUAUGCGUUUUUGUUUGCAUUAGUUUGAUAAGUGAUAUGAGUAUUAUAACAUUUAUUUGAAUGAAUGUGUCUGCCAACAAAAUAGUGGCUCAUCCCUACUAUUUGAAUGCACAGGGAAAGAUAAUAUGUAGUAUGUGUGUGUGGGUAUCACAAAACAGAAUCAACGUGACUGGCAAGAUUUUGUGAAAAAUUUAGAUAUUUCUUAGCUUUCAAACUAAUAUGCUUCUUCGCGCAGCUGCAUUAGUGAACACACAAAUACACAGUGGGGGUUGUUUCAAUAAGUAGCUCAAAAUGUGCUUAGAUAUUUAUCUGGUCGAUGCAUUAUCACGUCCUCUGAAAUCAAUAGGAAAAUUCCAUGAGCAUGUGUCACAGGAGAAAGAAGUCAUGGGAGCGUCCACUAUGAAAUAGUUUUUCAGAAUAUUAUUUGCAUGGACUAACCUAUUCACACAUUACUCAUAACUUGUGAUAUUCUUCAGCUCCCUACUUACCCUAUUCACAACUGAUCAAGUUGAUAAGAACUGUGUUAGACUAUUUUAUAUAUUUUUUUAUAUCAUUUAGAUAUGCCUUAGAUUAUGUGCCAACCCUUUAACAUAUUGAAAAAUGCUAUUAAUCUUACCUGUUAUUUAGUGCCAGGACAGUCUUCGGCAGCCACUCUGGCUCCUCUGGGAUCACCAUCCCUGAUGAUCUCAGUCCAAUCCAAUGCUAUUCAUAGAGAAACAUUGCGUUACCACGGCACAUGCGCAGAAUUUGCAGCACUCCACCAAUACAAUGCUUCCCGUGGAAGAUAAAACAUGAGGCUUUUUUAUUUUCAAUGGUCUUAAAAGGAAAUGUCUCUAGUGGCUGUCAGUCUAACAGCAACUAGAGGCAUAUUCUCCAAAAUUUUACAUAGCUAGAGAAAAGGGGCAGGGUCUAUGCUCCAAAACAACUACAUUAAGAAACCAACAUUAUAUAUCCUUAGAAUUCCAAUACCAGUCAUGUGCCAGCAACACUUAAGUAUACCUUUUUUUCCUGACCUCUCCUUCCCUACUGAAUUACAUGACUUAUUUCCUAUUCUUUGUCUCUGACUGACUGCCAUUCCAUUAAAUUUGUGUGCAUUUGUUUCAAAAUAUGAAAUAAAAGCACAUUUUGUUACAAUUAUGUAACGUGCAGUUAUUUAUUUAGCUAUUACUAGUUUUUGUAAUGUGUAGGGUAUUGAUUUUAGUAUUACUGUUCUCAUUUUACCAACCUAAAAGUCUCAGCAGACUGUGUCAGGUUUAAAUGACACUGGAUCGCAAGAAUAACAGAAGUUGCUAGAGGCUGAAGUUCAUAGCACAUGCUAUGAUUGGCUACAUAGCUCCCUUCUACUUCAGCAUGCUGGGCUGGAUUUCUGAUGAGGCAAACGGAAGAAGGCGGCACUCCUUGAUCAAACCAUUUAUCAUUGGUGGUAGCACAGGCUUCACAGUGUGCUCUGCCAAGAAGAGGAAUUGCUCUUUCCUCUUCUUGCCUGGCAAAUGUGGCAGCAGGUCCUCUUUUUCAGGCAGGCAACCGAAGGAAAUACUGGAGAAGGUGUGCAGGUAAUGUCAGCAUCAUAACCCCACGUGACCUUCUUUACUGACUGCUGUUACACCUGCUGUUACUGUGCAACCCCAAUGGUGCUUGGCGACAAUCAGGUUCAUGUUUGGGGACAAGAAUAGAGGAAGGAGGGGAGAGAAGAGGGGAGCAAGUGUGAUUAUGGGGUAUAAUAGGAGAGGAAUAAAAUGAGGAAGGGGGAUGAGAAGAAAGGGACAAGGGAAACAACUUACGGAAGGGGAAUAUGAAAAGGGAGGAGGAAUUAAGUGAUGGAAGGGGAACAUGGAGGAAUGGUGGGAGAACAAGUGAGGGAAGGGUAAAAACGAGAAGGAAGGAACAAGUGGGGAAGGGUGGAAUAUGGGGAGAGGAGCACAAGUAAGGCAGAGGUACAUGAACAGAGGCUGGUGGAAAGAGAUAGAAGGGAACAGAUUGAGAAUGGAAACAAACACUCUGCACAAAUACACCACUUCAUUUAGAGUGUCACUUUAGUCAUUUUCACCUUACUUUAUUGCACCCCCAGCCUGUCACAAAAUUUCUAACUCACCUCUCUGUCAUUAUAAUCCACACGCAGACCGUGUCACCUCCACCUCGCUUCCCAUUCACUACCUCAUACACAUCUCCAGUCACGUACCACCACCCACUUGCAUCCAUUCGCCUUAUAACGUAACCCCAAAUAACUUCUGCACUCAGUUUCCCUGUCACAUAUUCCACUUACCUAUCCAUCAUCUACAGCCACCAACAGGAUGCAUUCACCCAGUAACAAACUGCCAUUCAGCCAGUCAUCCAGCCAUAUACUCCAAACUGGUGGUAUUUUCCUGCUCACCUCCCAGUCAUACCCAGUCACCCUAUCACAUUCACAAACUCAGCCACAUAGCAUGUCACUAAUACCCAACCACUCUGUCACACUGCCAUCCAACCACCCACCUAGUCAUGUUUACAUCCAACCUCAUUCAAUCACACAAACCAAGCUUCAAUAUAUACAUAUAUAUAAGUAUCAAUGUUCUGUAUGCAUUCUCUAAAAUUAAGAGACUAGUAUUAUUUUAAAAUUUCAAACAUCAACACAUUUUCGUUCAGGAACAUAGACUGAGGGGCAAUUAGCUUUGAAAACAAAAAUAUAGCAGAACCUGUGGAUGUAUUAAACGAGCGUUAAAAAAAAACUGAAAAAUAAACAGAAAAACAAAGCUUCCCCAUUGGCCAAUAGUUGGACAACUAGUGUAAAAGAAAAUAAGGGAAGAAGAAGAAAUUGAUCUAAUGUGUUUUCUUUUUAGGCAGAAUCAUUAUCAUGGUACAUUUCUUUCCCUUUGCUAUUGCUACUGUGAGACCUAGAUGAUUUUAAUAAACACAUUUAAUGUGGUGAAUCCCCUGGGUAAUUUGUGUGCUGAUAUUAGCUUUGCUUGGUUGAAAGAAAUGCAGGAACCAAACAAAGAAAAGAUCAGCUCUUUCUGAGCUAUGAGAGCCCGAGCUGUGCAGUGUAUUGAAUAGAUGUUAGACAGGGUGGCUAUACCUCACCUUUUACUGUGAAUGCUAGCACAGUAAAAAAUGUUAACCCUAUCAUUAACUGGCUCCUAGUUGCAUGUUCUAAGUUACAUUUUUUUCUUCCACUGUCCAUUUUAUAUAUAUGAUCUGUAGAUCUUUUUCAUGGAUUCCGAAAGUCACUUAAGCUUGACGAUAGACAUAGACUCAGAUUUAUCUAGAUAUGUUAACAUAAAAUGUUAUAUAUUAAUAAACAGCUAAAACAGUGGCAUUUUUGAAGCUCUAACUUGCAACCACAGUUCAUUGGCAGUUCGCUUAUAUAAUUCAUCUGCUUGAAUGCCAAUUUCAGAUUUUAACACAGAAACAGCAAAAAAAACAUACUUUAAAAAAAAAAAAUUAAAAAAAAAAAUAUAUAUAUAUAUAUAUAUAUAUUAUUCAGAAUUUAUUGAGCAUAUAUUUAAUAUUGCACACAAAAAUAGCACCAGGAAAACAUAGUUGCUAAGAAAGUCAUAGUCAUUAUAAAGAACAAUCAUGUUAAAGUGACUCUGUCACUGUCUGGGGUCUUUGCAUAAUUAGCAAGAGGAUGCAGGGAUAGGUCAGGUUUACUUUACUGAACCUUUUCUUCGAAGUCGCCGCCACUCUCUUCCGUCCGUUCUUCUUCAACUCCAGGCACUGCCAGAACAGAAACCAACAUCAGCGCUACAUUUUGGAUGCCCCAAUAGCACUCACUUUUUUUUAGAAUCUAACCCACAUUUCUGUAUGGUUCUUUUGCAAUGACCUGUUGUUUUAAAACACAGAUUGUAUUCCAAUGGUGGGUUAUAAUCUGAGUAAACCAAUGCCUAAACCUGAAUUUUGUUUUUAAUAACUGUUUAUAUAACUCACAGGUCUUGUGAACAUAUUUAACAUAAGAGUCAGUUUAGUCCUUUAGCAAGACCAUACAUGACUUUAUUGAGUUCCUAAACUUCUGGAUUUCGAAAAUCCCUCUGAACUCUACUUCACUCAAUAAAGUAUCACUACUUCCAUCCCCUUACAUAUCAUAUAAUAUAAGGAUGGGAGGAGGCUUCCUAGCUUAUAUUUAUACAAUGAAAAAUAAAUUAUUUUAAUAUUUAAAUUUUUCAAGUUAAUCUUUUGCUGUUGAAAAUAAACCGGAAAUUAAAAUUAUACAUGUACCCAAUGAGAUGAAAAUGUAAGAAAAGAAAACCAACACUAGAAACCAACCAUAUCGUCCAUUCUAUGUUUGACCUUGACCUCUUCUCCUAGUUAUCUUAUUAGCAAGUAUUAUAUUCCAGCACUAAAAUUGUUAUUAUGGGAAUCCCUUCUGCUCCAGUUGCAUACACUGUCCUCAGAACAGAAAGGGUGCUAAAGUAGUAGUACCCAAGGUAAUUCCACUCAUCCAAAUCAGACAAGGGGUGCUUCAUGAUGCAGCUCCCGAGACUGCACCUUGAACUACCAACAAACUUAAAAUAUAAGAUAUAGAAUGCGAAAAAUGGAUACUGCAAGCCUCUUUAUUGUGGUAUCAGAUAUUAAAAAAUCCUACUUGCACUGCCUCAGAAUAUUUUGAUAUAUUUAUAUUGUUCCAUCAUAGAUUUCCAGCUAUACCAUGCCUUUGUAGUUCUCAAAUUCCACAAGUAUCUUUGUUCCUGACAGAAACACCUAGCCUACUCAUUUGUUGUCUCUGCUUGCAUGUGGAGGCCCUGUAUCCCACCAGUAAAACAGAAUUCAAUCCCAUCCAUUUUGUGAUGGAAGCAAUUGUUAACAUUGAAUAACUAGUCAGUGUGGAAGUUUUCUAUACUCCAGUUUCAUGUUCAAGUCAGUGUGGCAUUCUCCUGCUGUAUUGAAGUGCGGCUACCUCUAAAGAAAUCCCCUAGUGGUUUGCAUCUCUCAUUGUGAAUCUCCCUUCUGUUAAAUAAUGUUACAUGCACUAUCCUUAAAGGAACACUAUAACAUUAGAGAUUCAAAUCUGUAUUCCCAACGAUACUGUGUCUUUGUCCCAAGAUCCAUAUUGCAACCCCCCCCCCCACCCUCCCGUUUGCAUAAAAAUGUAAAGACUUUUUUUAAAUUUUUUUUACCUUUUUCUAGCAACACUGAUGAAAACUAUGUGUUUUUAGUAAUGUACGGUAUGUUUAAUUAUUUGGAGCAGUACAGGAGAAAUUCAUGUUCCUGUAUUAUGUGACCGGGAAUUUGGAGGAUAUGUUGAGUGAGAGUCAAGCUUUCAGACACUCUGCUGUAAAUUAUGAUCUCAGGAUCACACGUGGGUUUGCCCUUGAAGGUUGUAUUUACAGCUCUGGAUUGUAAUGUGAUGAUUGUUUAGGUGGCUUCCUGCAGGUGACAGCUUAAUGUGAGCAGUGCUAGUGCAUUUGGCCUCUGGCUCUUGGUGCUUGAACACUUUUCCAGGUGGGUACUCUAUUGUUAAGUGCUAUAUACAUUGAUCAGCCACAACAUUAAAACCACCUGCCUAAUAUCGUGUAGGUUGAACCCAAAAGGCUCAGAUGCAAUGAGGCAUGGACUCCACAAAACAUAUGAAUGCGUCCUGUGGUGUCUGGCACCAAGACAUUAGCUGCAGAUCCUACUAAUUGCAAGAUGGGGCCUUUAUAUAUCGGAUGUGUUGUUCCAGCAUGUCCAACUGACGCUCUAUCAGAUUGAGAUCUGUGAAUGUGGAGGCCAAGGCAACACCUUGAACUCUGUCAUUAUUCUCAAAUUAUUCUUGAACAAUUUUGCAGAGUGGCAGAGGGCAUUAUCCUGCUGAAAUAGGCCACUGCCAUCAGGGAGCACCAUUGCCAUGAAGUGAUGUAAGGGGGCCUGGAAACAAUCUUUAGAUAGGUGGUGUGACGGACCGACUGCACCCCGACCGGGUACCUCCGUCAAUCGCUGCUUCCUAGUACUGACGAGUACCAUAAGCACUGCGCUGGAGCACCAUAACCACUGCAAACCCCCACGAACCGCCGCAGCUUGGUUGGGGUCUUGCCGUCUCCUACCCACUCUGGACCUACGACAAGGCUGCAGGUUCCAGUGGGCAAACCUUUCUCGCUCCAGUGAGUCAAGCAGGAACAGCUCUUACAAGAGCUUAGUCUGUCUGAAGUACAAAAGUACAUACUUCACAUGAACAGGGCCUUUUAAAGUGCAUUGGGCAACAUAUAUUGCAGGGCCCAUAGUCCUGAGACAAUAGGCUGGCCAGCAGGCCCCUCCAAGAACCCAUGACAAGGUUCAGUUUGUCACAGGGCCAUAAUCACAGGGUAGGAGGCUGGCAAAGAGGCCCCUCCAAAAGCCAGUGACGAGGUUACUUUCGUCACAGGUGGUACAUGUCAAAAUAACAUCCACAUAAAUGCCAGGAUGCAAGGUUUUUCAGCAGAGCUUUGCCCAGAGCCUUGAUAUCGGAUGUUUUGGUCUGCUUUCUUCUCAUAAAACAUCUCUUCCCCAUGUAAACGACGCACACACUCCCGACCAGCAACCUGAUCUAAAAGAAAAUGUGCUAAACCAGACCAGCCAACCCUCCAUUGCUCCAUGGUCUGGUGAAGCACAUUCUCAUUGAAGGUGCUUUUGGUGGUGGACAGGGUCACCAUCGGCACUGUGAAACUGCAUCACUGUCGGCAUUAAGUUUGUCAGCAAUUUGAGCUACAGUAGUUCACCUAUGUGAUCGGACCAGAUGGGUUAGUCUUAGUUUUCAUGUGCAGCAAUAAGCCUUAGGUGUCUGAUGUUGGUUUACUGGUUGUCCUUCCUUGCACCAAUGCAUACCGGGAACACCACACAAAACUUGCCAUUUUGGAUAUGCUCUAACCCAGUCAUCUAGCCAUCACUAUUUAGCCCUUGUCGAAGUCAUUCAGAUUUUUUUCGCUUGCCCAUUUUUCCUUCUUCCAGUACAUGAAAUGCAAGAACUGACUGUUCACUUGCUGCCUAAUAUAUCCCACAUCUUGACAUGUGCCAUUUGAAUGACAUAAUCAAUCUUAUUCACUUAACCUCUCAGUGGUUUUAAUGCUGUGGCUGUUCAUUAUAUCCUGGAGCACAAAGGAGAAUGUGCAAGAAGUACAUGUGCUUAAAGGGACACUAUAGGCACCAAAACAACUUUAGCUAAAUGAAACAGUUUGGUGUAUAGACCAUUUGAAUGACAUAAUCAAUAUUAUUCACUUAACCUGGCAGUGGUUUUAAUGCUGUGGAUGCUCAAUGUAUCCUAGAGCUCAGAGGAGAAUGUGCAAGAAGUACAUUUGCUUAAAGGGACACUAUAGGCACCAAAGCAACUUUAGCUAAAUUAAGCGGUUUGGUGUAUAGAUCAUGCCCCUGUAGUCUCACUGAUCAAUUCUCUAACAUUUAGGAGCUAAAUCACUUUGUUUAUACAGCCCUAGUCACACCUCCCUCCAUGUGACUUGCACAGCCUUCCUAAACAAUUCCUGUAAAGGGAGUUCUAAUGUUUAAACUUCCUUUAUUGCACAGUCUGUUUACUUUAGAAUUUCUUACUCCAGGUCUGUUAAUAGCCUUCUAGACCCUCCAGGAAUCGUGUAUGUGAUCAAAAUUCAAUUUACAGAGCAGAAGAUAAAAAGUUCUAAAAUAAGAUACCAUUUGAAUGAAAAUGAAACCAUUUUUGAAAACUAUUUUUACAACCUUGGAAGUAUGGCUACUAAUACAUGGAGAGAAACAAAAGUUAUUUAGAUCCUAUAUAUCAGGGAAUCAAACCGUGCUAUUGCAGGGGCAUGAUUUAUACACUCAAACUGCUUCAUUAAAGUUGUUUUGGUGUCUAUAGCAUCCUUUUAAGUGAUACACUGUUAAAUCCUGGGUUGAAGAGUAUCCUAAAACAGAGUUUGUAAGCCUUGUGUUCCCCUUAAAGAUACCAAAUGUUUCAGUUCACCACCAUAAGAGGGCUACAAACUCCCCACCCUUACCCUAAAUAACUGGUUUGUUGCAUCCCAGCCAUAAUCAAGCUGAUGCAUAAUGCUCCUUGACACAAAGAGUGUUUUCGUCUAUCCCAUUCCCCCUAUUCCUCCAAAUUACAAUGAAACAACUAAAUAUCAGGCGACACAGUACAGCAGUUUUAACAUAUAAUCAGCCACUUAUCCAAAUGGGUUCGGGAUUUUACUUUCCCUGAUAAAUUUUUUUACAUAUUAUAUUUGUUUUUUGUGUUUGUUUUUUAAUAAGAUACUUGGUUUUUUUUUUUUCCUGUUUUGAAACAUAGUGGAUCUCAGAGAAAGCUGGUAGGUUUAGGAACACAGGUAGAGGACAAUUUCACAAUUCCGUACUCCGUGGUUGUAAAGGAUGGGGUAGCAGGUGCACAGAUUCGUGGCUGCUCUGGGUUUUGAUUGGGAGGUGUAUUGAUGUGCCUCACAUAAUAGUCUGUUGCAUUUUGUAUUUCACAGACCAGAAGCAGCUGAAUGGGGCCUUUGUUACUAGCUCCUCCAGGAAUAGAGAAGGCAAAAUACCUGACCCCCCCUUUCCACCCCAGCUCUGCGUCCCUCACCCCUCUGCUCCCCUCCCCAUCACUCUCACCCACUUCAGCCCUCCCAUCUUCCCCUUCAUACAUUUCAAGUGUUCACAGGGAGUCUCUGUCUCUUUUGAGGAUCUGGAGACGAUGAGGAAGCACAUACACCCAGGAAAUUCACACAUACAGUGAGUUAAAGCGCUUGGGGGGACGCUGACAUGUUUACAAAACUGGACAAAUAAUCAUAGACUGGUGCUCUGUAGAAGGUAGAUGUUGGUGAGGACAGAUGCUUCAAUGCAAAGAUGUGGGGUGGAGCGGCAAACAGGACAAAGAGGAAGGAGGACACCGACAUAAAGCAAGAUGUGAAGUUCCUCGACUUGUAACAAUAUUUUAUGCAGCUGUAUAUUUUCUAUAUCCUCUAACAAGCAUAUAGUUUGAUGAUGUGUUCGUGUCUGUGUGUGUGUGUGUGUGUGUGUAUUGUAGUGUGUUAGGGUAACAAGAUCUAGAACUGGACUCUGUGACCAGAGAUAAGUUUCUCACAUGUAAUUUAAUAACAGAUUUCUCAUUAAUGGGAGAAUUGUUACUCAGUUGAACUUACCUCUGGUCAUAGAAUGCAACCCUUUGGCUUUAUCCUGUAAUAUUGAUUGGAAGUUAAUAUUGCAAAGUUUUAUUAGUUAUAAUAGAUUUUCAGUAAGGCAUACUGUAUGUGUAAUUUGUAGGUGUUCCUUUAUUUACUAUUUCCCACUAAUGUUGAAACAACAUGCCUCUAUCCCUUACUAGUCGAGUGCCACAUUCCUAGCGGGCAACAGAGAUCUGUGCCAGCAAAGUGACAGAUCACUGCUUCUUUAAGACGGAUAUAUAAUAUAUAGUGCUCACACACCUCCACCUGCAGGCAAGGGUCCCAUUUCCUUGAAAGACCAUGGUAGAGUGCACAGACAGUAAUUUAUCCUCAGUAUCAGAUAUGUUGAGCAUGGCCUCAUCAAAUAAUACUGCUGUGUCUAUUGAUCGUUUCUCAGAACUUAAUUGUAAAGAGAUGUGUGUGUCCUUGUUCUGGAAAGUGGGAGAAGUUUAUGUCCCAGGUAGCUUUGUACUUGAAAGCGAGAGAGGUGUGUAUCUCCUUGAGGGUUGUGGAUUGUAAAGUGAUUUCUCUAUAAUCUUGGUGAAUUGGGAAGUGGGAUAUUAUUGUUGUGUGUUGAGAAGUGGGAGAGCUUUGUAUCCAUCUUAUUGUUGUGCAUUCGGAAAUGGGAGAGGUGUGUUUCCCCAAUAUGGCUGUGCAUUAGGAAGGAAGAUGUCUGUGUCUUCAUAAUGGGAAGUGGGAGACGUGUGUGCCUCCUUCAUGACUUUGUACUGGGAAGUGGAGUGUGUGUGUGUUUUCUUGCUGAUUUUGUAUUGGGAAGGGGGAAAGAUAUGUUUCACCAUGAUGGUCCUUUAGUACGAAAUGGCAAAAGGCUUGCAUAUCUGUUUUAACAUAUGUUUUUAAUGUGUUGCUCUUCCAAUGGUUUGAACUGUUUCCAACGUUGAUGACUCCACUUGGAAUCCCUUGCUGUGGUAUAUGGCUUUUUAUUCCUAUGUGAUUUGUUUCAUAGCUCAUGUAGGGCUGAAAGCCAUUUAUUGCACAGGGGAUGUACAUCUCUGCAUAUAUUACAUGGUGGUGUAAGUUCUUCACAUCUAAGUUCUUCUUGUGUCAUUAUCACGGACUGUCAUAUGGCAGCCUCCAGCGUUAUUAGCCCAGAGAUACAGGUAGAAUUCUGGAGGACUGGUGUGGCCUAAUUACUUUGCAUUCGUCCUCAAUGAUUAUUAAGAUUCAUGAGGGCUAUAUAAGUAAGUUACCAAUGCCAGUCUGACUUUGACAGAUAUAAAUGUGCAGAGUUUUCACUAAAGUGUGUAUUGUCAAUUUAAAGCGAACUCAAAAACUUUUAGCAAAAAUAGCAAAACGUCAAACAUCCACCUAGUCAUCAUUUUUGUAGACCAGCUACUUUGGCCUAAAAUUGUGAUAUUCACUUUCAAUUUACCUGAAUUCCUGAUAGCAAAAACACUUAAAGGAACACUCCAAGAACCAAAGUCAUGGCGCCAGGAGUGCCCAGGCACCCCUUUAUUGUAAGGAGUCAAACCCUCUUAGAACAGUUUAACUUCGUACCUGAAGUCCAUCAUGCCCCUGCCUCAACUACUGCUUAGGUUAAGCAGGAAGCUUGUAUCACUGAGAUAAGAUCAGCACUGUUAGGCCUAGCUCAUUGGCUGAGCGCGUUCAGCUAAUGCUCUCAGCCAGAGGGCUAGCUGUGCAUUGCAGGGCUUAGCUCAGGUGAGUGAGCGAAUGCUCCUGAACGGGAGUUUAGUGCUUUCACUUAGAAGUAGUUUAGAUGGGGAGUGGCACCCAACUGACCCAAGGUAAGAAGUCAAACUGUUCUACAUGGUUUGCUGUCUUACAACGGUGUGGCGCCAGGUAUCACACGCUGUAGUGGCUAUGGUGCUUGGAGUGUUCCUUUAACUGAAUAAAUAACACUGUUAUUGCUACAUAAACAAACACAAAAAAGGAAACCAUGCAGUUUAGCUUGAAAUGUGAAUGCUUACUAAUCUAGCAAACCAUGAAAAAUAUGUGUACAUAUGUGUGUGUGUGUGUAGAUCUGAUUCACUUGUUUAAGAGUGAGAAUGUUCCCUUUGUUUAUUAAAGUCAAAAUGGCAGUCAAAUCACACAGCCCCAGUGCUUCAUGAAGCUGCAACAUUAUCUGUAGCACAAAGCCAUUAGUUGCUGCUGAAUGGUUAUUUCAUUGUUCCUACUUGGCACACUAAACCUAGGACGGUGAGCUGCCUGGAGUUCACAAUAGUUUGGGCUCACCUGCAGGGAAUAUCCAGAGGUCUGAAAAGUAAUUAUCAGAGACUGAGAAAUGGCUUAGUCAAAAGGAUAUUUAAAGAAUAACAAAAUGCUGAGGACCUGCAUGUUCUGGCUUUUGUCAGCCCAGCUCCUCGCUAGCAUUUUUUUUUAUUUAUGUUUGUUUACUUUUGCUUUUAUUCUCACCUCCAAAUCCCUCUUCCCUCGUAAACUUUCUCCUUCUUGUCUGUCCCUUCGAGGGGUUUUACAUCUACUCUAGCUUUCAUUUUAUGUUGCUUCUGUCUAUCCUUCCUAUAUCGCACUGCUCCCCUUUCUUCACCACUCACCUCUCCAGCACUAUGUCCUUAUCACAGAUCUUUGUCUCUGCUUGCCCCAUUGUGCUGCUUAUUGUUCACUCAGUUCCUGGGGGAUUUCAUGAAGAACAUAGAGAAAGAAAAUAGAUGAGGAUAAAUUACAAAUGGGAAGAUAAAUAUGAGAACUUUCAAUAUAUCAAUACACUCUUAACCCCUUGCUGCAUGCUGAAUGACAGAAACAACUUAGAGAUGUUUGGUUUAAAAGCUAACUAAGGCAUUUGGGACAAGAUAGAUUUGUGAAAUUGAUUUAAAGGGAACUGUUAUGUUCUAGGAUUUUUAAUACUAUGCUUACUUUCUAUAUUUAACAGGGUUGUGUUUGUGAGGUUUGAAAACCAAAGUAAAAUGUGCAAGUCUACAAUAUUCUGUCUUGGAACAGAGUGCCAUCAUGUCUGUCAAUCAUUGUUAUAAGCUUUGUUCUCCACAUGACUUACAUUUAAAAUAAACGUACAUACUGCUCAAGCUUUAGCAAAACUCAAGAGACAGCAUACAAGCUGUUAACCUUUUAUUACCGCACUCCCUCAAUGCUACACAUGAUCAUUCAGGACCACUCACACCAUGCUGGAGAUGCAGUGUUGAGAGGGGCACACUGCUUCAGCUAUGGUGGAAGUGCAUGAAGAUUCUCUCCUUCUGGAAGGGGAUACAUGACAUGUUGAAGUUGUUCUCAGACUGUCCAACCUACUUUGAACCUGCAGAGAUGCUGCUACACUACACCAAGGUCCCUAGAUCUUUGUAUAAAAAUCUCUCAAGAUCCAUAUCCUGAACAUAACUAAAAUGGUGAUCCCACAAUACUGGAAACAGGCAGUGAUUCCUCCGUUGACCUUGUGGUUCUACCAGAUGGAGGAACUAUGGACGGUGGAGGACCUUCAAACUAGCGCAGCUGAUACACAUUUAUCACACAUAAAUACAUGAUCAUACUGGCUACUGUCGGCACCCUCUGCAGACUUCACAGACAAACUACGGUAUUGAGCAACAUCGACACUGACGGUGACUGACUACGGUCUGAUCAACCCACAGUCUUGAGCGACACCGACACUGACCUCAACGAACUAUCACCCACCCCCCUCCUUGUCCUUCCUCUCCAUUUGUGUUAUUACAAUUCUAGAUCAAUAACUUAUGUGGGUCACAAGGACCUGUUCUGAGACUCCUUUUUGAUGAUUUCUAUUUAACGGUAAUAUAUGGGAAAAGUAAAAGGGGAGACUACACAGAUCCAAGACCCAAGAAAUGACCCAUAACUGUUAAACUGGAUAUGUGAUAAGAUCCGGGACCUGCGAGUCCUCAAAUGUUUGGGGCCUGCGAGCUCACAUAAAAAUACACCUUACAUGAAUACUUUCCUUCUUCACUUGUCCUACUUGGGACCUGUGAGUUCCGCAUUAUUUCUUUCUUGAUACUGUCAAUUAUAUGAAUGUUGAUAAAACAAUAAAAAUUCAAUUUACAAAAAAACAAAAUUAGCAUGACAUCACAUGGGGAAAAAAUGGUUAACACAAGUUCUAGGUUAUGUUCAGUUGAAAAACUUUCAGAGAAGUGAUGAUGCUAAGGAAUGGAAAAUUACAAACAGCUAUUGUAAUAUGUCUUAACUGUGGUCUCAUCCUAAAGAAAGAAUUUAGAAAAAAAAAGGAAAUAUAGAAUAACAGAAUUGUUAUCCCAGAAAAAAUGACAUUAUUUGAUUCAGAAUAGCAAAACUGUUGUUGAGGAUGUUGAAUAUGUAAUUACAGUUGAUCCUUCCUUAACGACCUACCUGUUUUAUGAUGACUCACACUUACGACCAGCUCUCUAGCAUGGGCAUUCAAGGGGUUUCCCACAUUAGACAGCUGGUCUAUGUUUAGAGAAUUUUCCCCAAACAUAGAUUAGAGGGAUUCCCUGCUCUUUUGCAUUUGUCUACGUUUAGGUAAAUUUUCCCGAACAUAAAAAAACGCAUUCAAGGGGUUUCCCACAUUAGAGAGCUGGUCUAUGUUUGGGGAAUGUUCCCUGAACAUAUAUUUGAGGGAUUCCCUGCUCUGCUGCGCUUGUCUAUGUUCGGGUAAAUUUCCUCGAACAUAGACCUGCACUGGUGAGCAUGCUCUGUAGCGCAUCCUCACUUACCGACCGAUUCGCUUUACGGCCGAGUCAUAAGAAUGGAACCCAGUCGGUAAGUGAGGAAUCCCUGUAUUGAAUCAAUGGGAGACAUCCUAUAGUAUUAUCCAUAGUUUAUUAACAUACCUUAUAUUAAAGGGACAUUCUAAGCACCAAAUAACAUUUAAAUUUAAAAUUACUAUGCAGUAAGGGAAGGUAAAUAAUCUUGAGUCUUUCUCAGUAGGUCUGCUAUAGAGAGGCUGUGUGAGUCCAUGUCUUCCAACAGCCCCGCUUUUUGUUGGUACAGUCCUGAUUUUGCAUCUGCUGACAGCUAGGGAACUGUCCUGGGCAGCAGAGUGCAAGUAUCAUUAGAGUGCUUGCACUGUGCAGCAGUCACUAGGAUCAUGCAAAGAGAGCUUCAGCAGUGCUCCCUGCAUGGUCCUGUCAGCAAGGGCCCAUAAUGUCUGUCACACAUCUUCAGUGAGCAGGCCCACAUCUGGUUUUGGUAUGAAGAUCGUUCCAUUGCAGUCUCACUGUUCAAUUAUCUGCCAUUUAGUAGUUAAAACACGUUUUAUUACUCUAUACAGCCCUGGCCACACCUUCCCUGGCAUUGACUCACACAGCCUCUAUGAAAAGAAUGGCUUAAUUUUCAAUCAAAACUUACAGCAUUGUGUGUGCAUUUUGGACGUUUUAUCACCUUUAUUCACCUGCUUAGUAAAUUGAACUUUAAUUGCAUGCAUGAUUCUCCUGUAGGAUCUAACAGGCUAUUACCAAAGCAAUAGAUAAUAAAUUCUAAACUCAACAUACUGUGCAGUAAGGAAGGCUAAAAAAUUUAGACUACCUUUCAGGAAGUGCCAGGGAGGCUGUGUGAGUCACAUGCAUUGAAGGUGUGGCUGGGACUGUAUAAACAAAGUGAUUUAUUUCCUAAAUGACAGAAUUGAGCAGUGAGAAUGCAGAGGCAUGAUCUGUACACAUAAACUGUUUCAUUGAAAAGUUGUCCUUUUAACAGGAGUGCCACUAGAGCCUGAAAUGACCAAAGUUUAUACAUAAUAAACAAGUAUGGCCUAGCCCCCACACAGAGAAAUGUUUUAACCCCUUAACGCCGUUACGGCGUUCUAUGUCUUCCCGCAUUAAGUGGGCUUUAAAGCUGUUGCGGCGGCAUAGAACGCCGUAACGGCUUUGAGCCCUGGAGCGCAGGCAGCCCUCCCACGGCAAAAGAAGCCCCCGGGGGCCAUGUGAUCGCUCUCAAAGAGCGAUCAGAUGGCCCCCUAUAGCAGGGGGACUGUCUAAAAUGUUGGGAAAGUGGUGGGAAAGUAAAAUAAAUAUUAUUAAACAUGUUUUAAAAUAAAAUAAAUAUAUUUAUAAAUAUAUAAUAUAUGUGAAAUGGAACACAGGGACAAAAGGGACACAAACCAAUAGGAACCAUAAUUAUCACAGUAACACUCCCACAUACAGUCAGCAAUCCUUCCCCUCUGCCUGUGAUAUAAUUAAGCUAGCUAAUGGAAUAACUUAUGCACAGGCAGAAAAUAUCCAUUUUUACCCAAAGCCCAGAAACACCCCAAAACACAAACAUAUGCCCAUAUACAUCCCUGGAUAGCUCUGAUCUGGGUAAACAACAUAUCCAAAAAUCACCCAGAUCAGAUCAGGGGUUAAAAAAUUUUGUGGAAGUCAUAUUUUACCGACCGCACGCACAUUUUCAUGCCCUAAACAGUUCCAGAGAAUUUGGCUGUGCAGCUGGUCUAUUUCCAAUAGUUUAAAUACUAAGUUCCGUUCGAAUGCACAAACGGGGCCAUUCGUAAAAAUACUCAAAGUUAAAGUGGCGUUUGUAUUGUCGAACGCACUUCCAUUUCCGUCGAAGUGUUGAAGUCUGGAGAAGGUAAAGUUCAGCAGUGUUCGUGUCGUCGCGUAUCCGAUUUGAGUUCCAUGAACUCGACGACCAAACACCGCUGAACGUGUUCGACUGAAUUAAAAUGGCUGCCGCCACGUGUUCGUAUGUCGAAUGGCAGUCACUUCGACUACUUCGGCUGUAUCCAAAGUGCCACUUCGAAAAUGCAAAUCCUUGCCAAUAGAAUUUAAAGGGCCAGAAACAGUGUCCUAAAAUCCAAUAAGUCCAAAGAGAGUGUUUAAACGGCAAUACACCCCAGGGACCAUAGUCACAGGACAAAAGGCUGGCAAGCAGGCCUUUUAAAAACCCAGUGGCAAAGUGCAAUUCGUCACAGUUCCUGUCCACUAUACAUUAUAUUAUUAUAUUAUCAUACACUAUAUAGACAAAAUUAUUGGGACACAUCUCUUAAUAAUUCAGGUGUUUCAAUUAGAUCCAUUGACACGUGUAUAAAAUCAAGCACCUAGCAGUCUGCCCAGUUUUCAUUUGUAAAUUCAAGUCUGGUAUGUGAUAGGACACCACGUUUGAAAUAAGUUAGUUUAUGAAAUGUCAUCCCUGCUCGAUAUUCCACGAUCAACUGUAAGUGGCAUUGGUAUUGAAGGCAUUUGCGAACAACAGCCACAAAGCGGAAGACCACAUAAAGUCAGAGCAGGGUCACGAAGUGCUGAGGUGCAUGGUGCGUAAAAGUCUCCAAAUCUCUGCUGAUUCCAUAGCUGAAGAGUUCCAAACCUCCACUGGCAUUAAUAUCCGCACAAAAACUGUGCAGCAGGAGCUUUAUGGAAUGGGUUUCCAUUCACCAAGUACGACAAGUGUCGGAUCAAGUGUUGUAAAGCUUGCCGCCAUUAAAAUGUGUUCUGUGGGUGACAAAUCUUGCUUUUCUGUUUGGCAGUCUGAUGGACAAGUCUGGAUUCAGUGGAUGCCAGGAGAACGUUACCUGCCUGACUGCAUUGUGCCAGCUGUAAAGUUUGGUGGAAGAGUGGUAUGGGGCGGUGUUUCAGAGGUUGUACUAGGUCCCUUACAUCCUGUGAAGGGAAAUCUUAAUGCUUCAGCAUACCCAGACAUUUUGGACAAUGCUAUGCUUCCAACUUUGUGGGAACAAUUUGGGGUAGGCCCAUUUCUAUUCCAGCAAGGACAUUGUUAGGUCCACAAAGACAUUGUUGGACAAGUUUGUUGUGGAAGAACCUGACUGGCCUGCACAGAGCCCUGACCUCAAACCCAUCAAACACCUUUGGGAUGAACUGGAGUGGAGAUUGUGAACCAGGCCUUCUUGUCCAGCAUCAGUGCCUGUCCUCACAAAUGAUCUACUGGAUGAAUAGGCAAAUAUUCCCACACAAAUACUCCAGCAUUAACAAUGCUUGCACACUGUCAUUUACCCAUGCAUGCACAGCGACAUACACAGUAAUCUGCCCAUAUACACAGUUUUAUGCAAUUAUUUACCCAUAAAUGCACACAGUCCUAAACUGUCAUUUAUCCAUGCAUGCAUACUGCCACAUACACUGUCAUUCAACAAUGAUUGCACAUUGUCAUUUGCCCAUACACCCACACAGUCAUGUUCAUUGUCAUUUACCCAUACAUGCACUCUGUCACAUAUAUGGUCAUUUAGCAAUGCUUGCAAAUAGUGAUGUCCCGAACGGUUCGCCACGGGCAGCGAACAUAUGCGGUAAACUUUGACCCUGUACCUCACACUCAGCAGACACAUUCCAGCCAAUCAGCAGCAGACCCUCCCUCCCAGACCCUCCCACCUCCUGGACAGCAUCCAUUUUACAUUCAUUGUGAAGCUGCAUGCUUAGUGAGUUGUCCAGGAGGUGGUAGGGUCUGGGAGGGAGGGCCAGAGAGGUAAGGGAUUACAGGGACAAAGUGCCACAGCAGGGCUUAAAGGACAGGAUAUUAGGUGGACAGAAUGACAGUGCUAGGGGCAGACAGAUUGACAAAAAGUGAGAGGGAAACAAGGACAGUGACAAAGGGCUUGGAGAUUAGGGGGAGAGAGGAUUAGGCUGACAGAGUGACAGUGACACAGGACUAAGGGAAUGGGGAAAGAGUGACAAAAGUUUAGGGAUAUAAGUAAUUGAGGAGACAUAGUACAAAGGUCUAGGGUGACAGGGGGUUAGAAAUACAGAGUGAGACAAGGUUAGGGGGACCGAGGAAAAAGAGGGCUAGAUCCUCUAACCUCAUCAGCUUUGUGCUCUAUCCCUGUGUCACUUGGUUUAUCCUUUUAAGUAGGUUAGAGGGCAGAACGACAUAGAGGGACAGGGAAUCAGGUGGACAAAGUGAGGGACAAAGGGUGAGAUAGACAAGGGGACAGAGGGACCAGAUGAAAGCAGGGCUAAGGAGAUAGGGAAUUAGGGAACCAAGUGAAAAAGGGUGAGAGGAACAGGGGGAGAGAUUGACAAAACAUAUUGGUAUAUCUGAUAAAUAGGACGACGGACUAAAGUGACAGUGGGUUAGAAGAACAGUGACACAAGGCUAGGGGGACAGGGAGACUGAAGUUAGAUUAUCUAUCCCCCUGUCACUCUGUUGCCCUACCUCUGUGCCUCUUUGUUCACUAAUGCCUUGAAAUAGGGUUAGGUGGCCAGAGUGAUACAGAGCCCGGGGGAGGGUCAGAAGGUAUGUUUUACAUUGUUCCUUAAAACAUUGGUGAUGGCUUAUAGUAGCUGCACUAAAGCUGACUGCAGCAAUAGGGACCUGCACACUUGGCCUUGGGAGCUAAGAAUCCUCUUUGUCGGUCUGCUGCGGAGUCUGGCGGCUAAAGUCAGCCGACUCUGCCGCUAUUUUGGAGCCCAUUAAGAGUUUUGUGGAAACCUGAACCCGAGCCGGGAGUUCAGCGCCAGCCCUGCUGAGCAGGAUAUAGUUAUACUCAUGCACACAAGUUAAUUCUACCGUUCCAUGACCCACCCAUGCGCACAAUUUAUUUAUUUAUACGUCAUCUGCAGGACUAUGUACAAAGAGUGGUCGAUGUACAUUGACUAACUAUUGACCUGUGUGAAGGCGGAGAGCGUUGCACUGGAAGCUCACUGUACAUUGAGACACAGCGCAUCAAGCCACGUUUUUUUGUAGUGACUGCUGAAUUACCUUGAAGAUGUGGAGAAUCACAUCUUUUAGCAGUCUGUCUGUCAAACAAGGAUAAUUUAGUACUGUCUUCACAUCUGAUGCUGGACACUGGCCUUCUGCAUUUGCUGUAUUAAUCAUCUCCCUAUACAGUUGAUGCCUCAUUAGGGCAACAGACAGUGCAAUGUAAUAAUACCCUCAUCUGUAUGGAUACAACUCAGAUACUAACAUUUUAACUAACCUGAAAACUUUUGAAAGCAAUUUUUUUUUUUUUAAAGCCUUUUUUUAAAGAUCAAGAGAUGUCCUUGAAGAAACAUUCUAAUGACCAUAACCACUGCCGUAGUAAAAAACUGUUUGACUCAUUACAAUUGUGGGGCAUCAAGGCACUCCUGGCAACAUAACCACUACUGCACACUGUACUGGAUAUGGUGCUAGGAGUGCUCUUUAAUUAUACACAAGGCUCUGGGAUUUCUUUACUAUAUAGUGCUGUGGAAACCUAAUAUGCUAAAUAAAAAAAAAAAAUGGCAAAAGUUUUCCCUUAUCAAUAAUAUCCCUAGCAAUCCAAAUUCCAUUACAUCAGCUCUGUCACCAUCUGGGGUCUUUGUAUAUUUUGUCAAGUCUCCUGACAGUAACGUCGCCACCAUCUUCCUAUGGUCCUUUGCAGUGGUUGCCAUUUUCUUCCUGCCAGUACUCUUAAGCUCCUGGUGCUUCAGCUGCCAGGAGCCCAAAUUAGCAUAAAACACAGUGUUCUAUGGAGGAGAGCUCUCACUCAUUCUGCAGCUUUAAUAACUGUGAUCAUUGCUGGGCAGCUGGCAAGCCCAGUAUUGAUGAAUGGGCUGAGGAGCAUUCAGGUAGACAUCCAAAGGGGCUUUUCAAACUCUGGGGAUCUCCCUAAUACUGGGGGAGACAUUGGCACUUUGACAGGGCUGGAGGGAGGGGUGGGGGCACUGUCUUAAUGACACAAGUACUUAAAAAGCUAUGUGUCAUGCUCACCGAGAGAGCAGCACAUAGUUCUUCUGUCAGUCUGGGGCCACUAAUUGUAGCUCCAACUAAGAGAGGCUGCACCGGGUUUCCUGAUUUUUUUAAUGCUGCAGGCUAGGGACAUUUUAAAGCACUUAAUCUGAGCACCACAUAUAACUUAUUUGUCAGUCUGGGGCCACUAAUUCUAGACCUGGCUGACAAUGAGGACCAUCAUGUAACAAAUGAUACCUGGGGCUUCUUGGGAACCAGCAGUAAUAACUGUCUCGUAGGACCAUUAGUGUUUUUAGGGGACAGAAAGCCUUUUGUAAUUGCACCUCAUUUCAGUAUACAUUCCACUAAAAAAAUACAACAAAGCAUAACUACUUCCAUGUAUUUACAUAUAUACAUAUAUAAGUCAGUUAAAGGAACACUCCAAGUACCUUAAUCACAAGCCUACUGUAGUGGAUAUGGUGCCCUGGCACCAUCCCAAAGUAAAUAGUCACACCGUUGACAACUUAUCUGAAGUCUAUCUGGAGCCUGUCACCCACUCCUCUGGAAUGUUUGCAAUUGAAGAGGGUGGUGCAAACACUUAACAGAGCGGGUACUGCCACCUCCUCUAGAGACAGAAACUUCUAUUAGGUUCACUUUUCUAAGCCUUGGUUCAUUGGCUUAGAGCAACAGCUGAGUGCUCUCAGCCAGUAUGUGUAUUCCUGCAUGUGAGUGGCAAAUCUUCUGGCUGCAGAAGAGGUGGUGGUGGGUGCCUAGCUUACCCCAGGUUUGUUGUCAGUCUAUUCUUAAGUGGAACUGGCUACUUACUGUGGGAGUGCACCAGAGCACCCAUGGCACCAUAGUCACUACAGCAAGCUUAGGGUGAUCCUCUUACCUUGGGCUACAUGAUUCUGAUAUUCCUUUUAAUUUUCUUUUUACUCCUGCCAUUGCUCUUUCAAUGUUCACCUUGGCUCUGUCAUGCCACUCUUGUCAAUCUAAUAACUUUCAGUUUCAUAUAUUCAUGACAACCAUAUCUACAUCUUCUUCCUUCAUGGAUCUUGUCAUCGUAUCAGCUGCCUCUCCUACCUCAAUACUUCCCACUUCCUGAAAUUCAUAGUCUAAAAAACAAAUAAAAUUCUGUCUCAAACACAAACAUCUUUUGUCAUUCAUCCUCCAUGUCAGUGGUGUUACCAUUGGCUCUGUCCCACCAGUUUACUUCCUUGACAUCAUUUAUGUUCCUCACAUCCAGUCUGUUUCUAUAUUUUUCCACUUUCAUCUUAAAAAACUUAUAUUAGCUUGGCUUUACAAUUAGAAACAAUUAAAGUGCUUCUCAUCAGGCUUUAAUAUGCCCAGAUACCCUCUUUACAGCCUUUGAUAAAUGCCAGUGCCAGGCUUACCUCCAGGCUCAUCUAACCUAUUAUUAAUCUUUAUACUGAUCUCUUAGUAUCCUUUAGAAUUCAAAUUUAUAAUCCUAGUAUUCAACCUCGGAGCUUUCUAUAAUAUAUAUAUAAUGCACAGCAGGGAUUUAUGGGCACAGCUGGUGUUUCAGGGAGUUGUAUUUCCGCUGUCAGUGUUCUCCUUUAGGAUUUCAGAUGAAAGUGUGCAUGUGUAGACUGAGAUAAGACCAAAUAUGAUUUUCAGAAUCUUUACUUUCCCUCGGGUGGUUUAAUAUCCAGUCUUUUGAAUUAUGCAUCUUACUCAACUUACUUAACUGCAUCGGAAUCUCCUGUGGACUCCCAUUUCUUCUUGUAGGGUUAGUCAUUUGUUACACUCGGGAAAUAAUUUCUUGUUUUUCAGUGUUGUUAAGACUCUGGAUUCAUGGAAACUUGACCAUCUUACCCUGUUGUAGUUUUCAUGUGUGUCCAUUUGACUGCUCCAUUGAAGCCUUACAUCUAAGCCUAUGGAGACAGUUUGCUUUUCUUACUAGGUUCGUGAAGAAAAACCAUGGGUUUAACAUAUAGAUUAUACAUAAAAAUACAUAAUAAAAAAAAAUAAAAAAAAGAAGGUGAAUAUACGUAAAGAAAUGUACAAACAAACAGUUCCCAGCUGAAACAAUCCCCCAUACUAGUCUAUGGGGUCUGCUCUGAAUCAUAUACAUGUGGAAAUCAGAAUGGCUUAAAGCGUUACUACUAUCAAAUGAAAAAACACUGUUUUUUGAUAGAAUAACCCUACCAACCCUGUUCCCCCCAAACUAAAAUAAAAAAGCCAACAAACCUCCGUAAAGUACCUAUAUUCCAGUGUCGAGGACAAGUUCUCCCAUCAGCUCAGUCACUCCCCCUAAUUGCAGAGAUGGGAUGUAGGGUGAGGACGGACUGAGACGAGGACAUCGAGGGGGAGGGGGGCAAUACUGCCAUUGGAUGUGCAUUGGCAGUUUGCUGCACAUGCUGAAUACAGACAUCCAAUAUGUACAUAAUUUAUAUCAGCCAGCCUGCAAUUUUUGUUCAGGGCUGGCUAAUGGAACGUCAGUGAUGCUGUCUGAGGUGUUAUAUCUUUGUCAGCAGAGGGCUUAAACUGUGUAUGCACAGCUUUUCAUACUGAAAUGCUGCAAAUACAGACUCCAAGCACCAUGACCACUUCAAAUAACUGAUGUGCGUUCCCUUCGGAGGCAUGGCAUUUUAUUCAAAUGAUUACUGAUGGAGGAGGAGACUUCUGGCCAGCCUCUUGGAAGCUUUUAAACAGGAGAAGUAAGUUAUUUCAACAUGCUUUCUAGUCAUAUUUGAAUCUGACCAUUUUCAAUUUUGUUUUAGUGAGUGUUGUUUGCUAAAUGUGCGAAUGUGAAACUUAAGUGUUUAGCUUGACAUAUAGCAUUCUUCACCAGUCUGAUUAUGGCAAAACUGAUGUAAAAGUGGAAUUGUGAUUCAUUCAAUAUCAUUAACGACUGAGGUUAUCAAUAAUGACGCCAGAAUGAUGAGUCCCUGGAACAGUAUCAAUUUACACCAAAGACUCCAAAUUGGCGUGAGAUGAUGCCAGUUUGGUGUGAGAUGGCCCUAGCAUGCAUGGCACUUACCCAGCAAAUCUCAAUAGGAUUAAUUAAGAGAAUAGUGAUAGCCACUCCUAAGUUGUGGGAAAAAGAGGAUAUACCUCCAACUUCUUCUUUUAUAUACUUAUUUUGUAUUUAUAUGAAUGGCAUAAUUUUAAUACAUUUAGAAAAUAGAGCGUUGAUAGUCUGGAGUGUGACUUUAGAGAUACAUCACAAACACAAUAUAUUUUAAAGCCAACUAUUUACUAUGCAUUUGGUAAAACAACACUAUGUAAAUGUUAAAGGAUGAUCAGUGGCGCACCAAAUUUUUCUAGUACAAUAUUUCAUUUAACUGUAAACUUUACUUUUUUUUACGGUCCUUUACCUUUACGAUCAGAUAGAGACGUUUGAUAUUGUGCAAGCAGCUCAGGAACUGAGACUGUAAAUUUGAUAUGUAUCGUGGAAUGAGAAGAAUGUUAUAUCCUGUUUCUCCUCGUACCGUAUAGAUCAGAUACAAAAUAUUUCCUGGAAAAAGCAUUUUAUGGCCACCUCCUGUUCUUGAAAAAAAAUUAUCUCAUCCUCCUACUAUACACACUGGAGUUUCCCUACCCUGUUGGUAUUGUAAAAAUUUGGAGCGACUUCCCACUGCUUAUUCCAAAGGGAAUUACUUUAAUAGGCUCUUGUCUCCUAAAAUACUCUACAAGUUGGCACAUUUCAAAUAUUAGCAAACAUUGAUAGUGCUCAAGAUAGACAGUGCAAAUAGCUGCCAAGAGAACUCGUGUAGGAGUGUAUUGAUGGAAAUAUUGCAAUCAUCCUCUGUUCUGUCAUAUGAUGGAUGUAGGUUUUCACACAAGGCCUUCGAGCAAUACAGUAAUGUGCUCUAAAUAGCUCAUGCGGAUGUCCAUGUUUAAUUAUAGAUUAAGAGUUAUGUUCUAUUUAUGAAAAAAAUAUUACAUUAUAUAAAUAUAGAUAUACUGUAUUGCUCUUGGUAAUUAUAAUGUUUAUAGAUAUAUCAUUGGUAAUUAAAGUUAAAGCGUUACUAUAACCCUUUUGAGGGGAGGACCUUUCCUAUGUAAAAUGGCUUAUUGGGCACUAUGGAGAAGUCCCCUCCUCUGUUUGCAACAUAAGCUGCAAAAUAAAGAUUUUUACUUACCUGGAAUUAUGCCCAGGGUGAAGCUCCCGGCGCCAAUCUUCCGCACCACCUUUGAUGUCACAGGGAUGCAUUCGGGUUUUUUUUAAAAGUGCAACGGAGGGAGGUGGGAGGGAGUGCAAUGUGGAAGAGAGGGGAUAGCAAGCUUCCCAUUGCAGGCACUCUGCAUGCAAGGGAAGAUUUAACAUUAGCAGUCCAGAACAAAUUUCUGAUCUACCAGUGUCACGUGUACUGGGGGUGCAAUUAAUCCCCAGCAAACAAUUAACAAUAUCUCUGUAUGUGUAGUGUUUCAAGCUGAAACACUCUACGUACAUACUCCUACCACCAUGACCAUUCCAAAUCACUGUAGUCAUGGUGGUUGUGGAAACCUUUUAAAUAAAUGCUAGGUUGUUUUUGCUACACAUUUUACAAAUUUGCUUAAUUAAUUUAUUUAUAAAAUAUUUUACCAGGAUGGAUACAUUGAGAUUUCUCUCAUUUUCUAUGUCCUGGAUCCACAAAACAUUACAUUGUUACAAUAGGAUACAAUAUUACAAAAAUGCAAUAUACAAACUAUAUAUACAUAUACAUAUACAUGCACACAUAUAUAAAUUUAAUGCAUAACAGGUAAUAAAUAUAUUCAACCAUGACAGGUGCAUUCUGUGCUUAGGUAUAUUGCCAUAGACCUCUUAAAAGAUUUUAGAUUGAAUGAAGAUUUGACGGUGUCCCUGAGGUUAUUCCAUAAUUGUGGUGCUCUGUAGGAAAAGGAGGAUCGAGCCACUUUACUUUUGUAUUGCUAACUAUCAUGCUAGUGCUGGAUCGGAGGUUAUAGGAGGUGGGAACAGCUGGGGAGAGCAUUCUACUCAGGUAGGGUGGGAGCUUCCCAGAAAUGCUCUUAUGCACAAGGCUGGAAAGAUUAAGAGUGUGUCGGGAUUCCAGCGAUAGCCAGUUUAGCUCUUUUAACAUAUCACAGUGGUGGGUAAAGUAAUUACAUCCUAGUACAACGCGGCAGAACAAAUUAUAUAACGUAUUAAGUUUAUUAAGAUGGGUUUGUGGUGCGGGUGCAUACACUACAUCCCCAUAAUCAAUGACCGGCAUUAGCAUUUGUUGCACUAUCUGUUUCCUUUCUGUAGGGCUUAGGCAGAAUUUGUUUCUGUACAGGGCACCUAGUUUUGGGUAAAGUUUUGAAGAGAUUUUUUCAAUGUGAAGGCCAAAGGAUAGAUUGGGGUCUAGCAACAUACCUACAUAUUUGAAAGAACAGACGGCUGUCAGUGUGCUAUUUGAAUUUGUUCUGAUACAUAGUUGUUGAUUUUGUAGUUAAUAUAAUUUAGGUACAGUUCCAAAGAUCAUUGUAACAGUUUUGUCAGUGUUUAGGAAGAGUUUGUUAUCCGCUAUACACUUUUCUACCUCUGUGAAUUGGUUUUGGAGCACAGCCUUAAGCUGCGGUAGAUUGGGUUUACUAGCGUAGAUUACAGUGUCGUCUGCAUACAUGUGUACAGUUAAGGAUUUGCAGACGUUAGGCAGAUCAUUUAUAAAUAAUGUGAAUAGCAGGGGGCUGAGUACGGAGCCUUGGGGAACACCACACGUGAUUGAAAGAGGGAGACGCUAUCAGAAAUGGCCACAUAUUGCAAUCGGUCUGAAACAUACGAUCAAAACCAGGUUAGCGGACGAUCACCAAUGCCUGAGUUUUUAAGUUUUUGCAAAAGAAUGCCAUGGUCUACUGUGUCAAAGGCCUUGGCAAAAUCAAGGAAAAUAGCUCCAGUUAUCAUUUAUUUUUCUUCCUUGUGGGGUUCCUUCUGAUUGACGUGUAUGGACAAAAAUAUUAGAAUGGCAUAGAUUUACUUUUUCUGUUAACUCUGUCCUUUUCACUGCAGGUGCCUGAAGUCAUUGCCUGCUGCCCCCCUGCCUUGCUGCCAAUGCCUCAGUUUACGUUUGCCUGUUUCUGUGGCCUACACGGGUUCUGCAACAUGAAAAGGAAGAAAGAAGAGCAGCAAGCAGAACAGGAAACAUCAGUAUGAAGAAGAUAUUUUUACCCCCAAGGUGCAAGCCCUCCAGCUGAUAUGUAUUUCAUUAACUCCUAUAUUUCUGUAUCAGCAUGUAAACCAAAUGAUUACAGGGAAAUGCAUUGCAUAUCUUCAGUAGUGAAGACACUAACUGUAUGUUCUCUUGUGCUCAAGAGACUUCAGAUGUAUAGGGGGUUGCUUAAUGCACCCUCCUCAAACAACAGGUUAAAUAUACUUUACCUUAACGGCUAGCAUUCUAAAGUGGACACAAGUGGUGGAGAUUCCAGCUGAAGUAGCCAUUGGCUCAGUCUUCUCCUACAGCUGCCCGGAACCUAAUUAUCAAUAUGAGGCUUCUGUAGCGAGGGUGUGAGCUAAACUGUGUUUUUGUAUUCAAACAGUCCUCGAAAUUUUGUAGAUUUUUUUAAUUUCCUGGUAGAAAUGUGAUCUGGGAUUUUAGAGUAUCAUCUUGAGAUGCUGCAAAAAACAUGGUGCAAAACAUGUAUACCGGCAGGAGCAGGAAAAUGUUCCAUGGCUCAUACAGAUCUGGGCCGCCAUGUACAAGACAAAGAAAGGGAAGUACGGAAGUUUCGUUAUAUUGCACAAUGUUUUCAAUUUAAGUGACCUUGAAGUAUACGAAAUAACCGUGUUUUAUAUAGCCAAAUAGCCUAAUUCUUUUCCAGAUAUUUUGCCAUUUUUAGUAAUAAUAUAUCUAUCUGUACCUGCUGAUUACAAAAUAGAAACUAGAAUUUACUUCUCUUUGAAUUUUGGCAUUUCCAUGAUGAAUACUGCUGUAGCACUACCAACCCCUGUAUGGCAUUGUGAGUUCAGCAAAGACAUGUGCUGUUGGAAAUACGCAGGUAGCAUACACAUACAUGGACCCUCUAAUAAGGCAAUAUCCCUGGCUGCAAGGUUUAGGAUUGAUCCCAGUGGACAACCUGCAUUGUUACAUGUAAAGCAGAUAAGGAUGCUUUCAUCACUGAUUGUAGCAGGGCCAGGAUUUUGGCAACAACAACAACAACAAAAAAAACCCUCCAUAUUGCAUGCUAGUAAUAAUGCAAAUAAUUCACAUCUAGUCUCUGGAUUUGCACAGCAAACACUGAGUUUACUGUUUCUUUAAAAAAGUAUAGCUGUAGUUAAUACUAUACACAUGAUACCAUAUAGAAUAAUUCUUUAGAAACACUGCAUGUUUAUUGUCAUUGUACAGAUAUAUUUUACAUUAUGAUACAGAGUAAUAUAAAGAAAUCCUCUCUGAUUUCUCAUUCAGCAUGUUCAUUAUUAGGGAUCUCUAUAAAGGUGCUGUUACAAAGCAUGUUCAUACAUUAUAUUGAAAACAUUAUACAAGGCUGUGCUUUUUUAAAAUCACUGUAACAUAUGUUUUCACUUCUUCCUCUUCUAUAAAUACUUUAUUUUAAAGAGAGGAUCACAGUGAUGCACAGAGAAAGAUGGGAACUGUCAUGAUUUAUGUAUAGUGACUAAUAUAUACAGAAUUAUUUAAAACCAUUAAAAGGCAAAACCUGUUGCCACAGUGAUUAUAAGACUGAGAUCCCCAUAAAAACAAGUAAACUUUAUUUACCUUCUAGAAAGAGUGCAAUUUUGCGAAAAAUGGUAUUAGUAAAUUACUUAUUUAACUUUCUACCUAACACUGAUAUGGGUGCAUUCUACAAAAAAAAAAAAAUAUUUGACAAAUUAUGAACAAAUGUAUAGAUUCAGUUAGAAAAAAUAUAUAGCUAUAUAUCCUAAAACAAUUGAGCCUAAAAUGCAAGGUAGUAUUGCCGUAGCUCAAGUUGAUAUAUGAGAGCAUCAAGCAUUUUAGUGGACCAGAAAAAAAGAAAAGAGAAGUAUGGCGAACUCUGCUUUGAAAGUGGUAUUGUUUUGGAAAGGAAAGCUGGAGAACAAAUGGGUACUUUUUUGAUCAGUUAUUUACUUACCUCGCUACAGUUAUUUCUGCAGCAGAUUGUGCACUUGCACUCAAACACAUUCACCAUCACUGAUAUAAUACAAAUAAAUCUCGACUAUGCUGGGGGAUGGACUGAACACACAGCUGCAAUGACUUCAAGCUCCUUAAAUGCAUUGCACCCUUGCAUUCUGGGAUGAUGCUGAGUGUAUGGUGGAUGUGGGUACAAUCUGUUAAAACAGCAACAAAUUAAAGAGGAACUGUCACUUUUCUGGAAAGAGGUUCUAACCAUUUUUGUUAGACUUUAUGCAGGCUUUUGUUAAAUAUAGAGAUAAGUAAACAUAAUGUUAAAAUUCCGGGGGAAGCAAUGGUUCCUCUUUAUAUGUAAUUCAGUUUUUUAGAGUUGCACCAGUUUUACAUUUAAUAUAUACAUUUGUUAUAUACUCCUGUGUAUAAAAAGUCCAUCAUGAGUUAUAAAGGGUAGGUAAUCUGUAUUCAUCCGUGAAUAUUACAAGGUGAGAGAUUCUUUGGACCUCUCUGCAGUGAAAUC